Molecule: ribosomal RNA, 164 nt
Filed under: uncultured bacterium
Lineage: Bacteria
Description: partial 16S rRNA
Rfam family: Bacterial small subunit ribosomal RNA
Source: RNAcentral
UAGGGAAUCUUCCACAAUGGGCGCAAGCCUGAUGGAGCAACACCGCGUGAGUGAAGAAGGGUUUCGGCUCGUAAAGCUCUGUUGUUAGAGAAGAACGUGCGUGAGAGCAACUGUUCACGCAGUGACGGUAUCUAACCAGAAAGUCACGGCUAACUACGUGCCAG